Paramuricea clavata is the source of this 4184-nucleotide non-coding RNA. The record is from the annotation of a GenBank genome assembly. NCBI's taxonomy places the organism in Eukaryota, Metazoa, Cnidaria, Anthozoa, Malacalcyonacea, Plexauridae.
CGGUAACGAGCAAAUUUUUCACUCUUGUGAAAUCAAGAUGGCUGCUUCUCGGAUGGCAAAAUUGGCUGAAAGCGCACUGUCCAAAAGUGUAGCUGUGUCCACAAGAAUGGGAAUGAAAGGAAUAGGUAUAUAUGUGUUUCUACCCUGUAGCUGUAACGUUGACCUUACACUUAUCUUAUGCUAAUUAAUGAGACAAAACAAGUUUCAUGGAAAAAAUGCCCCAAAUCACUGGACCAAAUAUUAUUAUAUUAUAAUAGUAAAUGUUGCAGUAUGUUGCCCUGUUUUCUGACAAUACCGGUAUUUGGACAACAUAUUUUAACGCUAAUUUUCACUAUGAAGAGUUGCAAAAAAUUAAAGACAAUGAAUCCUGUUCUGUGUUUUUGACCUUUUUGCUGCUUUAAAUUGCAAGCCCAAAGACUUUGAUUUAUAAAUAUGAUAUAAUUAUUAAUGAAAUUCAGCAACUACCAAAAACACAACAUGCAGCGCCAGGGAAUAUGUCACUGGUUACCCCAAUUACAGCGACCCCUUAAUUACAGGGCCAUAGCAAUCAAAAAGCGCUUCCUACAGCACUGAAUUCCAUAAUUAUGUACAAGUCAAAUCCAACCGCGAUCAGCCCCCCCCCCCCGGGCAACCCCAGGGCAUUUGACUUAACAUUACCUCUGUAUAGGCGGGCAUUUGACCACUUAAGAACUUGCUCAGCGGUUUUCCCUGAAAAUAUGUGUACAUUCUAGCGCUUCACAAGUUUUCUAUUUUGCGUCUUUUCGAUAGUUUAAACAAAAAGAAGAACUGUCUGGCCUAUUUUUCGUUCUUUUUAAUCUUGAAAUACUUGCUAAAUUUAAUUUUAGCCAAAAUUCCAGAACCAGGACUACCUCUAUAGCAGGGCAUUUGACUGUGGUUUCUGCCUGUUCGGGUGGGCAUUUGACCAAUUAUUUUUUCAAAAGUCAAAUUCCCCGGGGGGGGGCCUGAUCGCAGUUGGAUUUGACUCGUACAUUACAUUAUCAUUAAUGAACAGUCUAGACAGUAUAACAAACUUGUAUAUGACAUCAGACAACUAACAGCAUCCAGGAACCUGGCCUUUCUACAUUUAACAUAUACAAAUUUCCAUGUACGAGGAUCAUCAAUACUGCAUGUGUUGCAUAGCUUGUUCUCAUAAUAUCUCUUUAGUCCCAAUUUAAAAGCAUGCAGUCCUAUAUCUCUAUGAUGAAGGUCACAACUUAAAGUAUAAUAAUAAUAAUAUACUUCGAGUAUAGGUCAGUCAAAAAUGUUUUCUUUAAUUAAUUGAAAUGGCAUAGUUUAUGGCAAACCUAGACUGCUACGCUUGUCAUUUGACAAAAUCUUCUGUGCGCAAUUUUGCCAUCUUAUCUGGGAAUAUAUUCAAUAUUUCCCUCUAAUCAAUUUCCGUUUAAUAAUCCCCUCUAAUAUUCACCUGCAAUGUCUUUGCAGCACAAAAAAUGAGAAAAAACAACAUAACAAAGGCAAUAUGGCAUUAAAAAUUAUUUCUAUUCUGACUCAUUAACGCGACCUCGCAAUGUGAAAAAUAAGUAUGUUAUUUUGAGGCACCUCGAGAAUGUGUGUUUAUUCACCUCUGCGCUGCGCGCCUCGCUGAAUAAAUCACAUAUCCCCUUGUUGCCUCAAAAUAACCUAAUAAAAGUAUACAUAGGCGCAUGAUGUUAUCAGACUAAAAACUUCCACACACAGUUAGCAAACUUAGAAGUCUAGAACAGUUUUUAAACACCAAUAUUUAAUUAACUUUAUCUUUGUGUUUGAUAAACUUUUGGAUUGUGAUAAUUUUCUUGAUUUUGGAAUUGGUAUACCCUUAUUCUGCUAGGAGCAAGACAAUGGGCAUUGGAUAUAUAAUAAGUGCUUUUAUUUGUGAAUUGUGUGGAUGACAUUAAUGCUUAUGUCAUUUUAUUUCCAUUACAUAAGCAAGCAUGAAUUGCAAUAUUAAUCAUAAGUAAGGCCAUUAUUUUGCAUUUGAAUACAAAAAUAAAUUGUGGGCCUGAAAAUGAACUACUUGUUUCCGAUAUUAGCACUCCAUGAGUUAAAGUGACUUAUGUGGUAACAUAAAAGAUUAAAUGACCUCGGUGCUUGAAAUAACAUUCCAAAAGUUCACAAUUAUGGUGAUUAGCAGGCAUGCCUUUCCCUGCCUUUUCUGAUUGAAAACCCUACUUUUCUGCAGAUCGUAAAUACUUUCUUGCCGACCGGUGAUUGGCUGUAUUCCAAGCCCUGCAACCUUCAUUGUUAUGAUAUGAUAAUUUGAUAGGUUAUAGGUGACAUUACAAAAAGUAUGUUCUAUGUAUGUAUGUAUUAAUUAUGUAUUAAGUAUGUAUUAAUUUAACAAUGCAGUUUAGCACUACAGGCUCCUUAUGCUUUGUAAUAUAUAUAUAUAUAUAUAUAUAUAUAUAUAUAUAUAUAUAUAUAUAUAUAUAUAUAUAUAUAUAUAUAUAUAUAUAUAUAUAUAUAUAAAAUUAUGUAGGCAGCACAUUUUAAUUGUAUAGAAAAUAUUAACCUCUCUUCAUGUCAGCUAAAAGUUCAGUCAAAUCAAUAUUCUACAUAUUUAGCAACUAAUGGAGACCUGUAAAUUUUUUUGUAUUUUUAAGAACUUGGAAAAAGAUCUCGACCUCACCUCUCCACAAUAUGGAGUACAGCUCGCAUUGAAUUGGCCCCACCUAUGCCAUCAGAGUUUAAAGCAAUUCAAAAGAGUUUUAUUAAUCUAAAGAACAGCCUGGUGAAAGGCAAGUUUCUCAACCUGUCAAUGAAGGAUGCUGCAGCAAACACACUUGUGGGUGUUGAAAUAUUCUGCUGGUUUAUUGUUGGAGAAAUGAUUGGAAGAAAGAGUAUUGUUGGUUACAACGUUUGAUAUUCAACUGACUUUGCAAGUGUAUUAACAUGUUAAAAUAUAAGAUAAUAUCUGUUAAGACAUUGUUAAGACAUUGAUAAUAACUCAUUACAAGUUUUACUUUUAUUGUGAUGUAAAAGUGUGAAUUAUAGAAAUGUCUAAUUAGGCAUACUGUUAAAUAUCUGUUGUUCAUUAUUUAUAUAUCCCCCCUCCCACCCCCAUUGUCCAAAUAUACUCCAAGUAUUGCCAUGUUAUUUUUUAUAUAUAAUUUUUAUAAACAUUUUAACUCAUUCAGUGGCAGCACUCUCCCCUUGGCGAGUAAAAUCGUCUGGCGUCAGACAGAGUAAAUUAAUACAGUAGGGUGCAUCAGGGUGCUUUGCCACUUAAAGGGUUAAGGUUGGGGGAAAACGGAGAAAACCAUCUCUUUCUUGGUUUAACAUUUAGCUGAUGAAAUGUCCAUUCUUUUGAUUUAUAGAGUCACUUGACGUGGUGACACCAAUUAUUACGGCUUGUUCAAUUAUGCCAUUUGGAAGUAAAAUGUGGAAAUGUUAAAUCAAUUUACAAUCUUGGAAGUACAUAAUUGAUUUUCGUUCUCUUUUACACAACCCUCAUCAGUUUUUCUGUCACAAAACACCAAAUUCAUGAUAUUUUCAUGUUUUUGCUUGGCUUCAGCUUAAUUAAUGGAAUCUUGAUGUGAAGGACAAUAAAGUUGGGCAUGAAAAUGUGCAUGGCAUUCCAUUUAAAAUUCUGUUGUGAUUGAAAGUAGUUUAAAAUACUUAGUUUUGGACAAUUUCCAUCAGUUUAUAAUUAAUUGAAAAUUAAUUUUAGACAGGUAGAUAUUAAGUUUUUCUCCUGUACAACAAUUUAUAACUUGUGUAAGCCAACGUCGUAGUACGUAAUACCCUGGUAAUACGUCGUAGUAAUGCGUUGUCUUGAUCACACAAAUUCGGCUGGAGGUUUUUGAAAAAUACAAAAUUAAAAGUACUGUAUUACUAUUUUCUCUACUUAUCCCCCUAACCCUAGGUUCUAUUGUAACCCCCUCCUAAUAUGGCUUCGCUCGGGAAGCGCUGAUAAAGAAUAGCCCCCAUCUUGUUGUAUUGAAUACCGUAAUCUCAGUAUGCCCGUUCGCAGGUUUUAGAUUCCGAACUCAUAGCGAAAUAAAAUGUGUUAAAGGUGAUCUACAGUCCGAUCUGCGCAUGUGCACAAAUGAGCCCACUUUUUAUUAUGAAAACAGUUUAACUAUGUUUUGAGUUCUUGAAAAGCCUGAUUGUUGUUUCUUGAUCAUUUAUUAUACUCUAGAAGCUUGAAAAUAUAAAUAGUUGUCGAAUAAAGCUCAAUAUUUUGG